UUAAAUGAAGUGCAGCUGCUGUUUCUGCACUUUGGGUUGAAUACAAUUACCAAUCACCUGAAACUCGUUGCAAAAAUGGGCAUAACUUCUUCCUGCACUGACUGAAAUGUUCUGUGCAGCAGUGCUGUUAUUGAUAGGUCUCAGUCACCCCGAUGUUGGAUUGUGUAUAUCAUCGCAGUUCUCCUUUCUAAACAACAACUAGCUGUUAUGGACAGAUGUAGAAUAAUGCGUGCUUGCUCCCAGGUAAUUGAACUCACGCCUGGGUACCCUGUCUCUGUGCUGCCCCAGUAACCUUUUUUCUGCUGUGUGUCCCAGCCCCUGUGCCGCCUCACGCUCGCAUUGUGCCGCGCAGAGCCCCUGCCGUAGGAGGCAGGUUACCUCCUCAAGACCUGGCUUUGCCCUCAGAGUCAGCCUGGAUCCAGCAGCGAUUCAUCUUGCCCAAGAUGAGAGGAGGGGUAAAAGAAAAGAACAGCCAGGACAAAUGUGUUUUCAAUGGCGCUUAGCUGCAGGAAGGCCACUGAGACCUCAGUGCGGCGUUACUGGAGUGUGACAUAAUAAUACAGUAGGUACGUUGGUGGGUAGAGCCUCUGGAAAGCCAGCGACCCUCCUUUCACACGGAUUUCAUUUUGACUUGACAUGACAGAGCUAAUUUCAUUACCAGGAGGCACGCUGGAUUGUGCUGCAGCGUAGAGCAGGCUGCUGGAAAUUAGCUCUGUUUUCCUGGUUUGCUUCCACUGCUGCUAGUGAACACCACUUUCUUUACCCAGUGCCACGAAGUACAUGAUACAGCAGAAUAAUUUUAUACUCAUGGCUGUUGCCACCUUUAUUAACAGUCUUUCGCUGCAUCGAUUAAUUACAUGAGGAGUUAAUUAAAGUAUCUGAUAUACUAGGGAAUAAACGUGUAUUUUAGUACUUGGAUAGCA
This 923-nucleotide long non-coding RNA is filed under the name Anas platyrhynchos platyrhynchos (common mallard). Its description in RNAcentral is "lncRNA (ENSAPLG00000029247.1)". Lineage: Eukaryota; Metazoa; Chordata; Aves; Anseriformes; Anatidae. The record is from RNAcentral.